UACGUAGGGUGCAAGCGUUAAUCGGAAUUACUGGGCGUAAAGCGUGCGCAGGCGGUUUUGUAAGUCUGUCGUGAAAUCCCCGGGCUCAACCUGGGAAUUGCGAUGGAGACUGCAAGGCUAGAAUCUGGCAGAGGGGGGUAGAAUUCCACGUGUAGCAGUGAAAUGCGUAGAGAUGUGGAGGAACACCGAUGGCGAAGGCAGCCCCCUGGGUCAAGAUUGACGCUCAUGCACGAAAGCGUGGGGAGCAAACAGGAUUAGAUACCCUGGUAGUCCACGCCCUAAACGAUGUCUACUAGUUGUCGGGUUUUAAUUAACUUGGUAACGCAGCUAACGCGUGAAGUAGACCGCCUGGGGAGUACGGUCGCAAGAUUA
Molecule: ribosomal RNA, 372 nt
Filed under: uncultured bacterium
Lineage: Bacteria
Description: bacterial SSU rRNA
Rfam family: Bacterial small subunit ribosomal RNA
Source: RNAcentral